This is a long non-coding RNA of Scleropages formosus (Asian bonytongue), 1663 nucleotides long. Lineage: Eukaryota; Metazoa; Chordata; Actinopteri; Osteoglossiformes; Osteoglossidae. The record is from Ensembl.
GCCGGGUUAGGCUCCGGUUCCCCGUGACCCCGCUUGGGACAAGCGGUUUCUCUGUGUGUGUGUUUCUGGUAAUUUUCAGCGUUUCGUUUAGUUUUUGAAAUUGUUCUUGGAAGGCACUUUCUAUACAGUUUCCCAUCAGCACCUCUGACUAACGGGGCACUGAGAUCAUAAGUGAAAGUGGCGCGAGUGUCCAAACUGCAGCGGUGGGGGAAAAACCGGCGCUGCCGCCAAGCUCUGCUCCGCGCUCCUCGGAAGCCCGCCGUGCGUUCGCACGCUCGCAGCGCUCGUGUCAAGCGGUGGCCGAGGGUCAUUAAAGGUGCUGUCAGCGGUAUUAAUAGCCGCUCGCUGAGUUCGAUUCGCCGUGUGCGGCGCAGUCAGGAGGGGAUCACGGGAGCAGUUUGUUCUGAUUCUUGUCACGCCAGACAGACGCCAGUACAGUAGAGCUGUUGGCGGCAGCGGCAGCGGCGCCCGGCCUGCCUGCGUUCCCGGUCCAAAGCCAGUCCGGAAGUCACCCCGACCGCUUCUUAUGUAUGAACAUGGCUGCUUGGAGGACAGCGCGAGCGUCCCUCGGCUCCUGGUGCGGCUCUUUAAAGCGGGCGCUCUUCCUCAGCGGCCUCUUCGUUACGCCUCCAGCUGGAAAACGGCGCUGUCCUCCGGCGCCUUCCUACACGGGAACGCUCCGGCUCGGCCGUCCCCGAAGGCAGAAACGAAGCGGGACCGUGUGCACCCCAGCUGAGUUUCAGUGACCACCAACCCUUUAUCACUUCUGUUCUACUCAGGGACACAUCUAGAGAGGCCAGACGGAGCCGCUCCAAUCUGGCAUGGGCUCGGAGGAGGGCGGUGGGCAAGCGGCAGACAGUAAAACUGCUCCACCCAAACCCUGACAUGCCUGUAAGACACUGUUUACACCCGUUUGUGUGUAAGUGUGCGGCUCAUGCUUGUUCAGCCACAGCCCUGGCGGGUCUGCUCCAGCUGGUUAGUGGACCAUCUGGUCCAGCACACGGUCAGCUGGACUCGUUUGACUCCCCCGAAGAGGGAUGGAAAGCUCUGGAACUGGGCCUCCGAGCGGCCAUGUAGCAGGGCUUCAGCUGUCCUUCGUUGUCAUAUAUACCAACAUGGAAUAUUUUUCCGCUCCGUUCUCUCCGAAGGACGACAGCAACUCGCGUAUCAUAUCUGAUCUCUUGUGUCCCGUUGCUGUGUGUUGAGUUUAUGGGCCUUUGAAUUCAUUACUCUUCUUUUGCUUGCAGGUUUGUCGUUGGUCCACUAUACAUGGGUGGCACGGUGGUACAGCGAGUAGCGUUGCUGUCUCACAGCGCCUGGGUGGUGUAAGAGGAUGUGGGUUUGAUCCCUGCUCAGUCUGUGUGGAGUUUCCAUGUUCUCCCUGUGUCUGUGUGGGUUUCCUCUGGGUGCUCUGGUUUCCUCCCACACUCCAAAGACAUGCUGUUCAGGUUCCCCCAUAGUAUGUGAGUGACACAGAGAGAGUGUGUUUCACUGAUGUAGGGAUGAGUGACCCAUUGUAAGUAGUGUAUCUAGCAGCGUAAGUCACCACGGUGAAUAAGGUGUGUGGGCUGGUGACACUGCAAAGUAUCCGUUGUAAGUCGCUUUGGAGAAAAGUGUCUGCUAAGUGAAUAAAUGUACAUAGUUCCAUUUGAGAAGAGGCUGC